RNAcentral lists this ribosomal RNA (523 nucleotides) under uncultured bacterium. Its description in RNAcentral is "bacterial SSU rRNA". It matches the Rfam family "Bacterial small subunit ribosomal RNA", at positions 1 to 525 of the family's 1533-position model. The record is from RNAcentral.
UAGAGUUUGAUCCUGGCUCAGAUUGACCGCUGGCGGAAUGCUUUACACAUGCAAGUCGAGCGGCAGCGCGGGGGCAACCCUGGCGGCGAGCGGCGAACGGGUGAGUAAUGUAUCGGAACGUACCCAGUCGUGGGGGAUAACUAUCCGAAAGGAUAGCUAAUACCGCAUACGACCUGAGGGUGAAAGCGGGGGACCGUAAGGCCUCGCGCGAUUGGAGCGGCCGAUAUCGGAUUAGCUAGUUGGUGAGGUAAAGGCUCACCAAGGCGACGAUCCGUAGCUGGUCUGAGAGGACGACCAGCCACACUGGAACUGAGACACGGUCCAGACUCCUACAGGAGGCAGCAGUGGGGAAUUUUGGACAAUGGGGGCAACCCUGAUCCAGCCAUUCCGCGUGAGUGAAGAAGGCCUUCGGGUUGUAAAGCUCUUUCAGCAGGAACGAAACGGCUCUCUCUAACAUAGGGAGUUAAUGACGGUACCUGAAGAAGAAGCACCGGCUAACUACGUGCCAGCAGCCGCGGUAAUA